This 364-nucleotide ribosomal RNA is filed under the name Leopardus tigrinus (little spotted cat). Its description in RNAcentral is "partial 16S ribosomal RNA". It matches the Rfam family "Bacterial large subunit ribosomal RNA", at positions 1991 to 2531 of the family's 2925-position model. The record is from RNAcentral. Lineage: Eukaryota; Metazoa; Chordata; Mammalia; Carnivora; Felidae.
UAUGAAUGGCCACACGAGGGCUUUACUGUCUCUUACUUCCAAUCCGUGAAAUUGACCUUCCCGUGAAGAGGCGGGAAUAUAACAAUAAGACGAGAAGACCCUAUGGAGCUUUAAUUAACCGACCCAAAGAGACCCCGCCAACCAACCGACAGGAACAACAAAUCUCUACAUGGGCCGACAAUUUAGGUUGGGGUGACCUCGGAGAAUAAAACAACCUCCGAGUGAUUUAAAUCUAGACUAACCAGUCAAAAGUAUUACAUCACUUAUUGAUCCAAAACUUGAUCAACGGAACAAGUUACCCUAGGGAUAACAGCGCAAUCCUAUUUCAGAGUCCAUAUCGACAAUAGGGUUUACGACCUCGAUG